AUGUAGUGGUGCCGCUUUAGCUUGUGCUUUCUGGAUGAACUGAAGUGAUGAAGUGAUGGUGGUGCCGUGGUGCUAAGCUGAUGAAUUUAUAGGCGAGGGAGAACAAUGCAGUUUAGGUCCAGCUACCAUGACAAGUUGGGAAGGUACAGAGCCAUGAGCUCAGAAAAUGCAAUGCUGUAAGUGCAAGGGCAAGUAGUGUGAUCUUGAUUAGAUUUCUCUGGGGCCAUCUGUUUGCCACUUGUUGUGAACGAUGCUUUUGGCUAUGCUUGGACAAUACAGUAUGCUGCCAUAUUCACCUGAUUUAGUGGCAAGCAUAAGAAGCAUAUAAUGGAAUGUGGGGACCAUGUGUAGAUUGUGUCCAGUUCUGUUUGUGAUUGUGCAAUGAGAUACCAACUAAUUUUUUUGGGUGCUUGGUAAUAUCAUAAUGAUAAGAAGUACAAUAUUUAGCGGUCCCUUAAAAGAAGUCCUAUAUAGAGUGGCCCCUGAGAUGGAGAUAUCUAGUCUGACAGUUGUUCAUGACUUCAUUCCCAUCACAAAUCAUUGUUGAGCAACUUGCUUGAUCGAAAAUCUUCCUUUAUUUGAUGGUCUCCUUGAUUAGUGAUAUCCAAUGCAACUAAUUAUUACUGAGUAUUGACUAGAUGAUGAUCAGUGAACUGGUAAUGACAAGUUAGGAAUUUUCUUACAGUUUUAUAUUUUGAAGUUUUGACUGCCUAGAACAGGAGGGAUGAUAUGCAGAAAGCUCAACAAGAACAUAUCCGAAGGAACUAAUACAUGUGGCCCAGCAUUCUUGGACAGAGGCAGUGAAGAUUCCCCACUUUGUAGGGGAUCUAAGCAAAUUGAUUGCUAAGGCCCAAGAAGGUGGACACCGAGAGAAGCCUGGCUAUGCAAGGGGCAAGCAAAUGAUAUAAUUGGUUUUUAUGAUCUUUUUGAGGCAAAAAUGAUAGAAUUGGUGGUUCAAUUGCUUGGGGUGGUGGUUCAUGUGUUAAUUUGAUAGGGUGAACCCCUAAGCAAUUCGGUCCAAACUCCACAGCCAUAGGUACAAUAUAACUACUCCUCUCCCUUGGUCUCCUCUAGGUAGGCAUUAUGGUUUUCAUGGUUAUUCGGUGUAUCUCUUAAUUGUUUUGUUAAACCGUGCACGAUUUAGUAAAUCAAAUUGUGUGCGAUGGUUCCCUUCAUCGCACAACGUAGGUCUGGUGAA
Aegilops tauschii subsp. strangulata is the source of this 1198-nucleotide non-coding RNA. The record is from RefSeq and is a predicted model, not a curated record. NCBI's taxonomy places the organism in Eukaryota, Viridiplantae, Streptophyta, Magnoliopsida, Poales, Poaceae.